Gallus gallus (chicken) is the source of this 807-nucleotide long non-coding RNA. Lineage: Eukaryota; Metazoa; Chordata; Aves; Galliformes; Phasianidae. The record is from Ensembl.
GAAUCUGAUGCACAAGUUUUACGCACACAUCAGGUUUGUGAACCAAAGCUUGAUGGGGAGCAGAGGGCUGGCUGAACUGAUCCUAAAGAUGUCACAACUCCAGAGAGGCGUCCUACAGUGCACUGUAAAUGAACUCCCACUCAGCCAUUGUAGAGAAGGCAAUGAAACGCUCAUUUACAACACUGCAUAACAUCUGCAGGGUAACCAGUUCCAUCACAUAUAUUUCUAGGAUGUGCUCAUCCUUGACAUUUUGGCUUCCAUUUUUCCCAAGUGGGUUGCCUAACAACGGAUUUCCAGCAUGCUCCAAAGUGACUCAGCCAUCAUCUCUGCACUAGUCUGAUCGCCCUGCCACAAGUUCUCACUCACACAGAUCUCUACACCCACCUUCUGAAUCAGACCAGGAGCCAUAUCUUAUUAGUCAAGUGGCACGAAAGCUUUAACAGUAAUUACAGAAAUGUUUUUCCUCUGCUCUAAUUACAGUGUAUUCAGCAUUCUAUUAACCUUUAAAUUACUGCUAUUUUUCCAGUAAGGAACUGUAAUGAAUAGUUAAGAGAAAAGUUCUGUGAUUUCAGUGCAGAGAAAAUGAGCAAGAAACAAAGCAUGUCUGGUACAAAUACACUGCACUGAUGGGCACCACUGCCUCUCAUAGGCCAGGCCCUCAGCUUGGAUGGAUGAGAAUAUCUUCAUUGAUUCUGGGAGCCCAGAAUCUAUAAAGCACUGUUUUUAUUUAUUGCUACAGAAAAGAGACCUGGGACUCAAUCUGCUAAAUGCAGGGUGGCACGUACCUACGAGUUGGAAAUAGUGAGA